UAAUGGCACAGAGCCUAAGGUCAUGUCAGUAAACCCCUUCUCCAACCCUGCUUCCUUUCCUAUCAGACAGUGAUUGAAUUUCCAGACCUUAAUGUCAACUGUUUAUCAGCUGGGCUUCUGAAACCUGUUUAAUGGCUUCUGUGAUGCAGUUUCUUCCUGUUCCGGAUUGUUUGAGCUCCAUAUAUAGGAGGUACCAUCAUCAUUUCAGAGACAUCAGUAUAAUAAGCCCAACGGGAGAAUGAUAUGGCAAUUUCUAAAUUUCCUAGAAGGAUCGCUCAGGAGGAUGGGCUUGAGCAGGCUGCCUUCCAUGUCACACCACCACUGGGCACAUUUUGUUUUUUGGCAACUGCCCCAACAGGAUUUUUUGUUCAUUCUGAAAAUCACAUCGCCAGAUCCAACACCUUUUUAUCCCAAUCACCAGUACAAGCCACCCGUAUCAGUGUACACUGUGGCUGACCGAUCCAUAGUGAUGCUUUGAGAUUGAAGCCACAAAAUCCACAGCACACAAAGACCCUGCUACCAUGUAUUCACUUCAGUGAAAGGGAAGCACCGAAAUGCUGAGUGGGGGCAGGUACAGAUACUUCAAUCACUGCUGAUGGAAGACUUCGAGAUACACUGUAAAAACUUUGAGAAAUGUCAUGACUGGGCACAUUGGAACUGAGCACUUGUACAGGAUGGAACAUCUGUCAGCAGAUCUCAAGAAACUGGGAGCAAAGAUAUUUCUUAGGCUUCAGGUUCGUAGU
Molecule: long non-coding RNA, 743 nt
Organism: Homo sapiens (human)
Lineage: Eukaryota; Metazoa; Chordata; Mammalia; Primates; Hominidae
Source: Ensembl